CGCUCGCUCCGCGCUCGCCGCCCUGUAACUUCUGUUCUGGGAAGUGGUGCCAGGAAUAGCCCAGCGGAGCCGCCUGCAGCGCGGAGCGCUCCCUCCCGCCGCGGCCAGGGCGGGCUGCGGCUCCCGGGCCUCCGCCUCUUCCCCGUGCAACACCAGCCCCUCCGCCACUGUCAAGAGAGAUGGUGAUGAGCCUUUCCAAAAAGAGGGAGAGGAAUGACCUGCCUUAAGAUAAACGCGUGAAGCGGGCGCCCCUUGGCCGUUGGAAUAUUUCUUGUCUGUCUUUAUAUAUAAAGAAGCACCGCCAGCCGCCUCACUCCGGGCGAGCCCUCAGCAAAGGAGCAACACGAGCGCCCGGCGGGAUCAGCAGCAGCAGCAACAACAACAACAAGGGCACCGGGAGGGCUUCCCUCCUUCCUCCUCGGUGACUUCCCAGGCUUGGAAGAGAGGUGAGAAAAUAAUAGAGAAGGAAAUGAAAGUGAAUCAGGUCCUCCACAUUUUUCUUUUGGAGCAAGGACAAGAUCACCCUCUGCAUGGCAGGAAAGAGAAAGACACAUGGGAUGAUGGAGUUCCUUUACGUACACCUCUCCAAAACUUCAGUGCAGCAUAUUUUCCACAAAUGGAGUGACUAUGAGAGAAACCUUUUAAUUUUCUUUCUCUUUCUCACUCACAAUUUUGCUAAGUAAAGAAGAAAAUGUGGAUGUUAAAUACACAAUUUUGGAUAUAUGCUGGUUGAGGAUGAGGCUUAGAGGGGAAGAUGAAUAAGAUGGGGAGAGGAGGUUUGGAUGUGACUGACAGUGGAUGCCUACAGGAAGUUAUUUUUAUCAGAUCAGGUUUCCCUUUAACACUGUCUUCAACCUAAAGAAUUUUGGUAUAAGAGCUUUUAAAAUCCCUGCCCAGUUGCAAGUCGUACAAGCAUGUGUUGAUGAGAACUGAGGUCCUACAGAAGGCACCAUUUAGGAUACAGUGAUAGCAUCCUCUAGCUUUCAUUGUUUGACAUCUCCGCAGAUAGCUUACACACAGAAUACAAUGCACGCUUUUGAUUUAAUUUAUUUGCAGUAUCAUUUGAUCCCGGUCAAUAGUUCGACCCACUUAAAUAGCAAGCAGGGGAAAAAAUGAAACCAGUUUUGACUAAGUCUUUCUCAGUCAAGUGGGUUGUCUGGCGAGCCAAGAGUGUAAUAAAUAGAUUUGGUGGCUAUUUACA
Molecule: long non-coding RNA, 1201 nt
Filed under: Manacus vitellinus (golden-collared manakin)
Lineage: Eukaryota; Metazoa; Chordata; Aves; Passeriformes; Pipridae
Description: lncRNA (ENSMVIG00005011729.1)
Source: RNAcentral